RNAcentral lists this ribosomal RNA (501 nucleotides) under uncultured bacterium. RNAcentral describes it as "partial 16S ribosomal RNA". It matches the Rfam family "Bacterial small subunit ribosomal RNA", at positions 30 to 523 of the family's 1533-position model. The record is from RNAcentral.
AUUGAACGCUGGCGGCAUGCCUUACACAUGCAAGUCGAACGGCAGCACGGGUGCUUGCACCUGGUGGCGAGUGGCGAACAGGUGAGUAAUAUAUCGGAACGUACCUUAUUGUGGGGGAUAACGCAGCGAAAGCUGUGCUAAUACCGCAUAAUCCCUAAGGGGGAAAGCGGGGGACCGUAAGGCCUCGCGCAAUUAGAGCGGCCGAUACCUGAUUAGCUAGUUGGUGAGGUAAAGGCUCACCAAGGCAACGAUCAGUAGCUGGUCUGAGAGGACGAUCAGCCACACUGGGACUGAGACACGGCCCAGACCCCUACGGGAGGAAGCAGUGGGGAAUUUUGGACAAUGGGGGCAACCCUGAUCCAGCAAUGCCGCGUGAGUGAAGAAGGCCUUCGGGUUGUAAAGCUCUUUUGUCAGGGAAGAAACAGCAGCUCUAACACAGUUUGCGAAUGACGGUACCUGAAGAAUAAGCACCGGCUAACUACGUGCCAGCCGCCGCCGUAA